UACGUAGGUGGCGAACGUUGUCCGGAUUUACUGGGUGUAAAGGGUGCGCAGGCGGUCUUGUAAGUCAGAGGUGAAAUCUCAAGGCUUAACCUUGAAACUGCCUUUGAUACUGCUGGGCUUGAGUACGGAAGAGGCGGAUGGAAUUCCUGGUGUAGCAGUGAAAUGCGUAGAUAUCAGGAGGAACACAGGUGGCGAAGGCGAUCCGCUGGUCCGUUACUGACGCUAAAGCACGAAAGCGUGGGGAGCAAACAGG
This 253-nucleotide ribosomal RNA is filed under the name uncultured bacterium. RNAcentral's name for it is "partial 16S ribosomal RNA". It matches the Rfam family "Bacterial small subunit ribosomal RNA", at positions 524 to 776 of the family's 1533-position model. The record is from RNAcentral.